GUUAAGCGACUAAGCGUACACGGUGGAUGCCCUGGCAGUCAGAGGCGAUGAAGGACGUGCUAAUCUGCGAUAAGCGUCGGUAAGGUGAUAUGAACCGUUAUAACCGGCGAUUUCCGAAUGGGGAAACCCAGUGUGAUUCGUCACACUAUCAUUAACUGAAUCCAUAGGUUAAUGAGGCGAACCGGGGGAACUGAAACAUCUAAGUACCCCGAGGAAAAGAAAUCAACCGAGAUUCCCCCAGUAGCGGCGAGCGAACGGGGAGCAGCCCAGAGCCUGAAUCAGUGUGUGUGUUAGUGGAAGCGUCUGGAAAGGCGCGCGAUACAGGGUGACAGCCCCGUACACAAAAAUGCACAUACUGUGAGCUCGAUGAGUAGGGCGGGACACGUGGUAUCCUGUCUGAAUAUGGGGGGACCAUCCUCCAAGGCUAAAUACUCCUGACUGACCGAUAGUGAACCAGUACCGUGAGGGAAAGGCGAAAAGAACCCCGGCGAGGGGAGUGAAAAAGAACCUGAAACCGUGU
RNAcentral lists this ribosomal RNA (520 nucleotides) under Escherichia coli. RNAcentral describes it as "partial 23S ribosomal RNA". It matches the Rfam family "Bacterial large subunit ribosomal RNA", at positions 1 to 561 of the family's 2925-position model. Lineage: Bacteria; Pseudomonadati; Pseudomonadota; Gammaproteobacteria; Enterobacterales; Enterobacteriaceae. The record is from RNAcentral.